UACGAACCGUCCAAACGUUAUUCGGAAUUACUGGGCUUAAAGGGUACGUAGGCGGCGCUGUCAGUCGGGUGUGAAAGCCCUCGGCUCAACCGAGGAAUUGCGCCCGAUACUGCAGUGCUUGAGGGAGACAGAGGUAAGCGGAACUGAUGGUGGAGCGGUGAAAUGCGUUGAUAUCAUCAGGAACACCGGUGGCGAAAGCGGCUUACUGGGUCUCUUCUGACGCUGAGGUACGAAAGCUAGGGUAGCGAAG
Molecule: ribosomal RNA, 250 nt
Filed under: uncultured bacterium
Lineage: Bacteria
Description: partial 16S ribosomal RNA
Rfam family: Bacterial small subunit ribosomal RNA
Source: RNAcentral